ACGCACGCUGGCGGCCUGCCUCACCCCUGCAAGUCGCACGAGACCUUCGGGUCUAGUGGCGCACGGGUGCGUAACGCGUGGGAACCUGCCCUUAGGUUCGGAAUAACUCCCCGUAAGGGGUGCUAAUACCGGAUAAUGUCUUCGGACCAAAGAUUUAUCGCCUUUGGAUGGGCCCGCGUUGGAUUAGCUAGUUGGUAGGGUAAAAGCCUACCAAGGCGACGAUCCAUAGCUGGUCUGAGAGGAUGAUCAGCCACACUGGGACUGAGACACGGCCCAGACUCCUACGGGAGGCAGCAGUGGGGAAUAUUGGACAAUGGGCGAAAGCCUGAUCCAGCAAUGCCGCGUGAGUGAUGAAGGCCUUAGGGUUGUAAAGCUCUUUUACCCGGGAUGAUAAUGACAGUACCGGGAGAAUAAGCUCCGGCUAACUCCGUG
This 432-nucleotide ribosomal RNA is filed under the name uncultured bacterium. RNAcentral's name for it is "partial 16S ribosomal RNA". It matches the Rfam family "Bacterial small subunit ribosomal RNA", at positions 29 to 507 of the family's 1533-position model. The record is from RNAcentral.